GUCCCCGUAGCUCAGUUGGAUAGAGCGUUUGACUCCGGAUCAAAAGGCCGUGCGUUCGAAUCGCGUCGGGGACACCA
RNAcentral lists this transfer RNA (77 nucleotides) under Candidatus Cloacimonadota bacterium. Its description in RNAcentral is "tRNA-Arg". It matches the Rfam family "tRNA". From Rfam's summary of the family: Transfer RNA (tRNA) molecules are approximately 80 nucleotides in length. Their secondary structure includes four short double-helical elements and three loops (D, anti-codon, and T loops). Further hydrogen bonds mediate the characteristic L-shaped molecular structure. tRNAs have two regions of fundamental functional importance: the anti-codon, which is responsible for specific mRNA codon recognition, and the 3' end, to which the tRNAs corresponding amino acid is attached (by aminoacyl-tRNA synthetases). tRNAs cope with the degeneracy of the genetic code in two manners: having more than one tRNA (with a specific anti-codon) for a particular amino acid; and 'wobble' base-pairing, i.e. permitting non-standard base-pairing at the 3rd anti-codon position. Lineage: Bacteria; Pseudomonadati; Candidatus Cloacimonadota. RNAcentral also lists the same sequence under 2 other names. The record is from RNAcentral.